Long non-coding RNA from Vicugna pacos (alpaca), 899 nucleotides. RefSeq lists it as uncharacterized. The record is from RefSeq and is a predicted model, not a curated record. Lineage: Eukaryota; Metazoa; Chordata; Mammalia; Artiodactyla; Camelidae.
AGUGGUUCCUAUUCCUCCACAUUUCAUUGGCCAGGACUCCGCCACGUGACCCACCCUACGCCAGAAGAGGGCGGGGCCAUGUAGAGCUUCCUGCAAGCGCCGGCGCGAGAGAGCGCGAUCGCUCCGCUGGACGGUGGGUGCGGCUGAGGAGACCGUUAUUCCUCCUGACGAGACUGUUGGUUCUGGAAAGUCCCGGCCACGAAGGGGAAGAAGUUUGUCGCGGACUUACUGCUAUUGAGGGCAAGGACCAUAGCUGAUUACCUCCGAAUCCCUGUGCCUGGCGCAUGAGGCAUAAGAAGACGUGAUGCCUUGAGCUGUUGCAGUCAUCUUGCAGCCAUGAGGGGAUAAACCAACUGUGAAUACCAGACGGUACAGGGGAGAGCUUCAUUCCUUGAGGGAGUGCUGCUGAGUGAACCAGCCCUGGAAAUGCCUGCCUCAGGACUUCUGGAGAGCUGAUAGUGGCUGCUGUAAACUUGGGCAAUUACCCAUCAAGAUCACAGCAUUGUGACCUCGUGUUGACUUCCCAGUUGAGUGUACAGCCAUCAAGCUGUGUGACCUCUGUACUUCUUAACCAUAGCACUUCAACGGAAAAUCAAUGUAGCAUGUGGGUAAGCCUUAGGCCCUGGAAUCAAACAAAGUGAUCUAGAUUUAAAUUAGAUUGUCUUACCUCUGAGCCUCCCUUUCUUAAAUGUGGAUUAUCUUACCUCUGAGCCUCCAUUUGUUCAUCUGUAAAAUGGGGAUAAUCAUUGUGCCCACCUUUAAAGGUUACUGUGAUAAAGUGAUAAUACAGUAUCUGUUACAGAAUACAUACUCUAUAAAUGUUGGCUGUUAUCACUGUUGUUAUUUUGCAUAAUUAUCUUGUCUUCUGCACCUUAGAGUUUUACUCCUUAAAUAAAAUA